UACGGGGGGGGCAAGCGUUGUUCGGAAUUACUGGGCGUAAAGCGCACGCAGGCGGCGCAUUAAGUCUGACGUGAAAUCUCCUGGCUUAACUGGGAGGGGUCGUUGGAGACUGAUGUGCUUGAGGCGAUGAGAGGGGUGUAGAAUUCCCGGUGUAGUGGUGGAAUGCGUAGAUAUCGGGAGGAAUACCAGUGGCGAAAGCGACACCCUGGCAUUAGCCUGACGCUCAUGUGCGAAGGCGUGGGGAGCGAACGGG
Molecule: ribosomal RNA, 253 nt
Filed under: uncultured bacterium
Lineage: Bacteria
Description: partial 16S ribosomal RNA
Rfam family: Bacterial small subunit ribosomal RNA
Source: RNAcentral